UACGUAGGGGGCAAGCGUUAUCCGGAUUUACUGGGUGUAAAGGGAGCGUAGACGGCUUUGCAAGCCAGAUGUGAAAGCCCGGGGCUCAACCCCGGGACUGCAUUUGGAACUGUGUGGCUAGAGUGUCGGAGAGGCAGGCGGAAUUCCUAGUGUAGCGGUGAAAUGCGUAGAUAUAUGGAGGAACACCGGUGGCGAAAGCGGCUCUCUGGCCUGUAACUGACACUGAGGCUCGAAAGCGUGGGGAUCAAACAGG
This 253-nucleotide ribosomal RNA is filed under the name uncultured bacterium. RNAcentral's name for it is "partial 16S ribosomal RNA". It matches the Rfam family "Bacterial small subunit ribosomal RNA", at positions 524 to 776 of the family's 1533-position model. The record is from RNAcentral.